Molecule: long non-coding RNA, 933 nt
Organism: Alligator sinensis (Chinese alligator)
Lineage: Eukaryota; Metazoa; Chordata; Crocodylia; Alligatoridae
Exons: 3
Source: RefSeq, a predicted model, not a curated record
AAACAGCAGCUGCAACUGUUAUGGCAGGGAAGUGCAGACCCUGCCCUGAAGACUGGAUGUGGUACAGAAAUCAUUGUUACUAUUUCUCCAAAGAAAUGCAAAACUGGAACAGCAGCUGGAAGUUCUGCUGGUCACACAAUGCUACACUUCCUGUUAUAAAAGAAAAAUCAGCACUGGACACUAUCUACUCUAAAAAAGGAAAAGAAAAUUACUGGAUAGGACUAAGGAAAGAAACAGAGGGAUGGCGGUGGGUAGAUGGAUCACUGUUCACUAAUGACAUAAUUUUACUAGACGAAGAGGGGCAAAACAUGGCCUGUGCAUACCUAAAUACAGUGGCUUUGGCUCCCAUAGACUGCAUGUCUUUGCGACACUGGAUCUGCGUCAAGAAGUCCACUUGAGCUCUCUAGGUCAACAGAGCACAGCUUGUUCAAGUAAGGCACAGGUACAAUUUGAGUGUAGUUUUCUAUUUACCCCUGGGAAGGCUCCUCCAAUUUACUGUCUUUGGGGGAAAAAAAUGACUAUCAGAUUUUCUCCUGAUGGGGAGUGUUCAGGUGUCUGCCAUUGCUUUUGUGCAUGGGUGUUGCAGCUUUUUGUAAGGUGUACCAUCCUGGGUCAUAGCAGUGGUCCAUCUAGCCCAGUAUUCUGUCCCCAGCUGUGAGAGAAGUGGGUGCUAUACAGGGAAAGCACUGAAGCGGAUUUUCUGAGUGUGAUCUAUCUAUCCCCUUUCAAUGACCUUCCUAACAUCCACCAUUUAUUGAUUUUAGAGUUCUCAAUGGCAGCAUCUCGCACCUUUGCAAAUCAUUGUGUAGUUGCAUGAUGUCAUAUUGAAUGAAAUAGUUUGAAUGUUUGUAAAGGUUGCCCAUUAGCCAGUUUCAGGAAGAAGAUAGGAUUUAUCUCCUUAUCUAAGUCAUUGUUUUUGGGGCUACGUGUAAA